UGGCAGCAGCGCGUUAUCGCCCGCCCCCCUUUGAUGGGGUGGUGGGCGCGUUGUUGGGUAGGGGAGCGUCCUGCGUGGGGCGAAGCCCGGGGGUGACCUCUGGUGGACCGCGUGGGAGUGAGAAUGCAGGCAUGAGUAACGAAUUCUGCGGUGGGAAUCCGCAGCGCCGAUUGACUAAGGGUUCCAGGGCCAGGUUCAUCCGCCCUGGGUUAGUCGGGUCCUAAGGCGAGGCCGACAGGCGUAGUCGAUGGUCGACCAGUUGAUAUUCUGGUACCGCGCGGCGACCGCCAAUGCCGAUACCGUUGUGCUAACCGCCCGCACCUGUUCCCCCGCUGCUUUCGGGCGCGGGGAGGGCGGGUGUCGCGGGGCCCCGGUGGUGGAGGCAAGCGUGUUAACAGGGGUGACGCAGGAAGGUAGCCGCAAUGCGCCGGUGGUUGUGCGUAUUCAAGGCUGUGGCCCGUCUCCUAGGCAAGUCCGGGGGGCAUGGUGGGUGAGAGCUGAGGAGGGACACACGCGUGUGUGGACUUGUGGUGAUCCUAUGCUGCCGAGAAAAACCCCGACGUGAGGGCGCCGCGCGCCCGUACCCCAAACCGACUCAGGUGGUCAGGUAGAGUAUACCGAGGCGUUCGAGUGAAUCAUGGUUAAGGAACUCGGCAAAAUUCCUCCGUAACUUCGGGAUAAGGAGGACCCUUUGGCCUCUUCCCGCCGCGCGCGGGGCGGGGGCCGGGGGGUCGCAGAGAAUAGGGAGAAGCGACUGUUUAUCAAAAACACAGGUGCGUGCGAAGCCGCAAGGCGAUGUAUACGCACUGACGCCUGCCCGGUGCUGGAAGGUUAAGAGGAGCCCUCAGCCCCCCGCGUGGGGGCGAAGGGGCGAAUUCAAGCCCCAGUAAACGGCGGUGGUAACUAUAACCAUCCUAAGGUAGCGAAAUUCCUUGUCGGGUAAGUUCCGACCUGCACGAAUGGCGUAACGACUUCUCCGCUGUCUCAACCGUGAACUCGGUGAAAUUGCAGUACGAGUAAAGAUGCUCGUUUCGCGCAGAAGGACGGAAAGACCCCGGGACCUUUACUAUAGCUUGGUAUUGGUGUCCGCUUGUGCUUGUGUAGGAUAGGUGGGAGACUGUGAAGCCGCGGCGCCAGCCGUGGUGGAGUCGUCGUUGAAAUACCAUUCUGGUUCAAGCGGGCGCCUGAACCUGGGCCCGUGAUCCGGGCUGGGGACAGUGCCUGGUGGGUAGUUUAACUGGGGCGGUUGCCUCCUAAAAUGUAACGGAGGCGCUCAAAGGUUCCCUCAGCCUGGUUGGCAAUCAGGUGGCGAGUGCAAGUGCACAAGGGGGCUUGACUGUGAGACCGACGGGUCGAGCAGGUGCGAAAGCAGGAACUAGUGAUCCGGCCAUGGCACGUGGGUGCGUGGUCGCUCAACGGAUAAAAGGUACCCCGGGGAUAACAGGCUGAUCUUGCCCAAGAGUCCAUAUCGACGGCAUGGUUUGGCACCUCGAUGUCGGCUCGUCGCAUCCUGGGGCUGGAGUUGGUCCCAAGGGUUGGGCUGUUCGCCCAUUAAAGCGGUACGCGAGCUGGGUUCAGAACGUCGUGAGACAGUUCGGUCCCUAUCCUCUGCGCGCGCAGGAAACUUGAUGGAGGGCCGUCCCCAGUACGAGAGGACCGGGAUGGACGAACCUCUGGUGUGCCAGUUGUACCGCCAGGUGCACGGCUGGUUGGCCACGUUCGGAAAGGAUAACCGCUGAAAGCAUCUAAGCGGGAAGCCCGCUCCGAGAUGAGGUUUCCACGCCCCCGCCGUGGGGUGAGAGGCCCCCGCCAGAACAGCGGGUCGAUAGGCCAGAGGUGGAAGCGCCGCGAGGCGCUCGCGAGCCGACUGGUACUAAUGGGCCAACACCACACACAA
RNAcentral lists this ribosomal RNA (1897 nucleotides) under Schaalia georgiae DSM 6843. RNAcentral's name for it is "bacterial LSU rRNA". It matches the Rfam family "Bacterial large subunit ribosomal RNA", at positions 1203 to 2925 of the family's 2925-position model. Lineage: Bacteria; Bacillati; Actinomycetota; Actinomycetes; Actinomycetales; Actinomycetaceae. The record is from RNAcentral.